RNAcentral lists this transfer RNA (67 nucleotides) under Marmota monax (woodchuck). Its description in RNAcentral is "tRNA.Ala". Lineage: Eukaryota; Metazoa; Chordata; Mammalia; Rodentia; Sciuridae. The record is from RNAcentral.
GGCUGUGGCUCCAUGGUAGAGCACUUGCCUAGCCUGUGUGAGGCCCUGGGUUCGAUUCUCAGCACCA